Triticum dicoccoides is the source of this 387-nucleotide long non-coding RNA. RefSeq lists it as uncharacterized. Lineage: Eukaryota; Viridiplantae; Streptophyta; Magnoliopsida; Poales; Poaceae. The record is from RefSeq and is a predicted model, not a curated record. The transcript has 3 exons.
GGAGCUAUCUGUUAUUUAUUGUCAAUCUGACAUACUUUUGUCACCUUCUAGCAUGUUUUAAGCUCUAUGAAUGAAUGAUGUGUGCCAUGUUUUUCUUCUUCAUUUUCAUGCGGAAGUAUUUGAUAUAUCCUCGGUAUGGAUGAUUGAUUUAUUUGCAGAAUGUCCCAGAAAUUGUGAAUCUCGGUUUACAAGAAUCAACACGAAUGCUGAAACAUUGAUUUUUUUGAAGCAGUUUUUCUAUAGCGAUAGCCAAUAGUGUGACAUCACACUACUCCAUUUUCACAGGCCAUGCCACAUCUUUACAUGAUAAGCUGACACCUAAUAAGGAUCAUGAGAACAACAAAGAUGCUAAGUGGGAACCUUUUGGGGUUAAGGAUAUUAACAACA